This is a non-coding RNA of Pelobates cultripes (western spadefoot toad), 2362 nucleotides long. NCBI's taxonomy places the organism in Eukaryota, Metazoa, Chordata, Amphibia, Anura, Pelobatidae. The record is from the annotation of a GenBank genome assembly.
AGAAGUUUUAAUAUAAUUGUGCAAACUCUAAUAGGGAAAUAGAGGACUUAGGUGUCAAGAUCUAUCUUGGGAUGUUGGAUAUUAAUACAAAUUUAAUCCAAUGCCCAGUGGCGAGGUUGGUUUCGCCACACACGUCUAGUUACAUCCUGAGCUGCUUCUGUGUUUUUUUACUUUGUACCAAAUUACAGAGAAUGGAUCACAUGAUAUGGGGAGGGGCUGGAGGAGGCAUUAGAAGGAAGCAAGUUGAAAUGUGGAGGGAGAGUGGAGGGAUAAGAUCAAAUAGGGAGGGGGAUAAAAUGACAUGGGGAAAAGGGAGAGAAUGUUGGAUAAGAUGACACGAGGACGUUCAUAGAGACAUGCCUUAUCUUCUCUACAUCGCUUUGUUUCUGUGCACUCAGUGAAUUGUGUUUCCUUACCUUAGCUACCCCCUUAAUUCUGUAUUGCGCUUCUAUCAUUCACAUUUGUUGAAUAUUCUAUAAUAUAUUUUUACGCUUGUAUCAGUUGAUACUUAGAACUUACAGUGUGUGUUCAUUGAGGCACAUACAUAUAUCAUCCACAUAUAAGCCUCACCCUUCUGUCAGUCCCUACAUUGGCUUCCUAUAAAAUAUAGAGCUCAAUUUAAAAUUCUGGUUCUUGCUUUCAAAUCUCUACAAUGCUGCUCCCACCUAUCUAUCCUCCCUUAUACACAAGUAUGUCCCGUCUAGGCCCUUACGAUCUGCUGAAGAUUUACGUCUAUCUUCUGUCCGUACUCCCACCUCUGAUGCUCGCCUUCCAGAUUUCUCGAGGGCUGCACCGUUCUUGUGGAACUUGCUUCCCUCCUCCGUUAGAUGCUCGCCCAGUUUCCACUCCUUCAAAAAAUCGUUAAAAACCCACUUCUUCAUAAAAGCAUAUCAAUUAAACUGUUAAUAGCUCCUGACUGAUUCCUCUUCUGCAACUGUCACUAGUCUAAUACUAUCCUUACCGUUUUGUGUAAUUUUACCCCACUCCCUCUAGCAUGUAAGCUCAUUGAGCAAGGCCCUUAACCCCUCUGUUCCUGUGUGUCCAACUUGUCUGGUUACAACUACAUGUCUGUUCGUCCACCCAUUGUAAAGCGCUGCGGAAUUUGACGGCGCUCUAUAAAUAUCAUAAUAAUAAUAAUAAUAAUAAUAAUAAUCAUGUCCAGAGGUUAGUACACCAGCAAUAUAAUGACAGGCCUGGUGCAUUGCAUAGAGCCAUAAAACAAACAUAACGUUGAGGUGAGCAGCCCAACAUACUGGGGCACCCAGAGCAUGUUCUUCUAGGAAAUAUUGUUUAACUUAAGGCCAAAAGGAAUUUAUUGUCACACGAUCUUAUUUCCAUAGUUGGUUGCAUUUUUAGCAGCCACGUAAUGUAAAAAACAUGUUACAAGUAAUUAAGUCCCUAAUUCAACAAUCAAAACAUACUGACUGUCUGACAUAAUUUGUAUCUUUAUACAAUCUGAGAUGGCUUCUGUCAGACGCCAGUUCACUCCUCCUGAUCAAACCAAUAAUUUACCAAUUAUUAAUUAAUAAAAAUCAAGAUGAGACAUAAAUAUGAGUUAAUGUUACAUUUAUUAGUUAUAUUUAGCAGUUUUAAUAUAAUUGUGCAAACUCUAAUAGAGGACUUAGGUGUCAAGAUCUAUCUUGGGAUGUUGGAUAUUAAUACAAAUUUGGCCAGGUAACAGCCAAGAUGUGGGUGACCUCUGGACUCACGAAGAGUCAUCCUUCAGCACUCAGGAAAGGAAAAACCUCCUGUGGAGGAAACCUCUGGGGAACCAUGGCUGGAAGGACUGCCCUUCCCUCUGGGCAUUAAGAGGCAAAUACAGAGAAUUCAGUAGAUGAAGGGCUUAGUCUUUUAUAAAUUAUAUAACUUGGUGGAGAGACAGAAAGACAGGCAGAAACACAGACUGACAUAGAGAGAAAAACAGACAGAUAUAUAUAGACGGAUUACUAAAGCAGACUAAACAGAGAUUGAUACAUACCGAUAGCUGGAAAAAAGUUGCUCAUUAAGUAAUCCCCUCCCUGCCCUAUUUGCAAUCCGCCCAAUCCCUUGAUGAAGCACCAAUAUUUGAUAAUGGGUAUACGAGUAGCUGCACGGAAUACAACGCCCCCUGCUAGAACCUCCAUUGCUAAGAUUAGAUUGAGGAUAGUCAAGCUCCAAGUCUUCAGACACAUCCAAGUGAGGCAGAGAUCUCUAAGCCAUUGAGAAGGUACGAGAACCAUGAAUAUAGGUGAAGCUCUGUCAGGGUCUCAGUUAUAACUGGAAAGGAAUAGAAUGUUCAAGCAGUUACAGCAGCAAUUAUGUUUAUGACAUCACAGCAUGACAUCACCUAUUAUGAUCUCACUGCUAAUGAUCACAGCUCCUG